AACGAACGCUGGCGGCAGGCCUAACACAUGCAAGUCGAGCGGACCCUUCGGGGUUAGCGGCGGACGGGUGAGUAACGCGUGGGAAUAUGCCCUUCUCUACGGAAUAGUCCUGGGAAACUGGGGGUAAUACCGUAUACGCCCUUUGGGGGAAAGAUUUAUCGGGGAAGGAUUAGCCCGCGUUGGAUUAGGUAGUUGGUGGGGUAAUGGCCUACCAAGCCGACGAUCCAUAGCUGGUUUGAGAGGAUGAUCAGCCACACUGGGACUGAGACACGGCCCAGACUCCUACGGGAGGCAGCAGUGGGGAAUCUUAGACAAUGGGGGCAACCCUGAUCUAGCCAUGCCGCGUGAGUGAUGAAGGCCUUAGGGUUGUAAAGCUCUUUCAGCUGGGAAGAUAAUGACGGUACCAGCAGAAGAAGCCCCGGCUAACUCCGUGC
This 434-nucleotide ribosomal RNA is filed under the name uncultured bacterium. RNAcentral's name for it is "partial 16S ribosomal RNA". It matches the Rfam family "Bacterial small subunit ribosomal RNA", at positions 29 to 508 of the family's 1533-position model. The record is from RNAcentral.